This 687-nucleotide long non-coding RNA is filed under the name Heterocephalus glaber (naked mole-rat). Its description in RNAcentral is "lncRNA (ENSHGLG00100052636.1)". The record is from RNAcentral. Lineage: Eukaryota; Metazoa; Chordata; Mammalia; Rodentia; Bathyergidae.
GAAGAAUACAAACAGGAGGUCUGGACCUUCCUUCAGCUUGCAAUAGUCAUGGAAACAUCAGGACGAAAUCAGACCCUUGAAACCCAAACCACAUCUGGUGUAUUUUCUUCCAUGACAGUCACAUAGGGACAGAGGAGAAGCACCUGCCCCUCCCUUCUCUUUUCCUGUGGUGGCUGAAGGGAGGGGGUGGUUUGGCCAAGGAGGUGCAGCUUGGCUGUCAUCAUUGGCGCCCUUCCCAGCACUCCCUGUUCCAGACACUGCCCUUUAUUUGAAGAAGUGGUAAGGAAAUGGCUCCUAAUGUGACAGAGUGAAGCCUCAGAAGGUCCUGGAGUAUGAACAGAACAGUUGCUUUAAAAUAAGGAGCAAUAAACAGUAGAUUCAGUUGGUCCUGAUGAGUUCCAGGGACCAGCAGCCAGUGAGGAUCAGCAACAGAAUCCAGCAAUUGGCAGUCAAUUGACAGUGUCCAGCAUUGAAUGGCAGUGGCCAGCAGAGGCAGAAACCAGCAGCUGGGAAGGUUGGCUGACAGCAUCCUGUAUUAACUGAUGUUGAUUGGAGGCAUCAGCACUGCUAGCAGAGCUGCACUAUGAUAGUUUGUAAUUUCUAUCUGAGUUGAGCAAAAGAACCAUUAACUGAUUGGCAAUAACAUAAUUACUGGUCCCAUUUUCACUCCCUCCAUGAGUAUAUGAG